Molecule: ribosomal RNA, 1015 nt
Filed under: Limosilactobacillus fermentum
Lineage: Bacteria; Bacillati; Bacillota; Bacilli; Lactobacillales; Lactobacillaceae
Description: bacterial SSU rRNA
Rfam family: Bacterial small subunit ribosomal RNA
Source: RNAcentral
CUAUAAUGCAAGUCGAAGCGUUGGCCCAAUUGAUUGAUGGUGCUUGCACCUGAUUGAUUUUGAAUUGCCAACGAGUGGCGGACGGGUGAGUAACACGUAGGUAACCUGCCCAGAAGCGGGGGACAACAUUUGGAAACAGAUGCUAAUACCGCAUAACAGCGUUGUUCGCAUGAACAACGCUUAAAAGAUGGCUUCUCGCUAUCACUUCUGGAUGGACCUGCGGUGCAUUAGCUUGUUGGUGGGGUAACGGCCUACCAAGGCGAUGAUGCAUAGCCGAGUUGAGAGACUGAUCGGCCACAAUGGGACUGAGACACGGCCCAUACUCCUACGGGAGGCAGCAGUAGGGAAUCUUCCACAAUGGGCGCAAGCCUGAUGGAGCAACACCGCGUGAGUGAAGAAGGGUUUCGGCUCGUAAAGCUCUGUUGUUAAAGAAGAACACGUAUGAGAGUAACUGUUCAUACGUUGACGGUAUUUAACCAGAAAGUCACGGCUAACUACGUGCCAGCAGCUGGCGGUAAUACGUAGGUGGCAAGCGUUAUCCGGAUUUAUUGGGCGUAAAGAGAGUGCAGGCGGUUUUCUAAGUCUGAUGUGAAAGCCUUCGGCUUAACCGGAGAAGUGCAUCGGAAACUGGAUAACUUGAGUGCAGAAGAGGGUAGUGGAACUCCAUGUGUAGCGGUGGAAAUGCGUAGAUAUAUGGAAGAACACCAGUUGGCGAAGGCGGCUACCUGGUCUGCAACUGACGCUGAGACUCGAAAAGCAUGGGUAGCGAACAGGAUUAGAUACCCUGGUAGUUCCAUGCCGUAAACGAUGAGUGCUAAGUGAUUGGAGGGUUUCCGCCCCUUCAGUGCCCGGGAGCUAACGCAUUAAGCACUCCGCCCUGGGGGAGUACGAACCCGCAAAGGGUGAUACUACAAAUGAAUUGAAUCAGGGGGGCCGCCCCCACACCGGGUGUGGACACAUUGGUGGUUUUAUUUCCGAAAAGGCUACGGCGAAGAGAAACUCUUUAACCGAGCUU